AGGACGAACGCUGGCGGCGUGCUAACACAUGCAAGUCGAACGAGGUAUUGGAGAGCUUGCUCGAAGGUAACCGAGUGGCGGACGGGUGAGUAACGCGUGAACAAUCUGUCUCACACAGGGGAAUAACGCAUCGAAAGAUGUGCUAAUACCGCAUAGGACCACGGUUUCGCAUGGAGCUGGGGUGAAAGGAGCAAUCCGGUGUGAGGUGAGUUCGCGUCUGAUUAGAUAGUUGGUGAGGUAACGGCCCACCAAGUCAACGAUCAGUAGCCGACCUGAGAGGGUGAUCGGCCACAUUGGGACUGAGACACGGCCCAGACUCCUAUGGGAGGCAGCAGUGGGGAAUAUUGGGCAAUGGGCGCAAGCCCUGACCCAGCAACGCCGCGUGAAGGAAGAAGGUUUUCGGAUCGUAAACUUCUGUCCUAUGAGAAGAUAAUGACGGUAUCAUAGGAGGAAGCCCCGGCUAACUACGUGCCAGCCGCCGC
This 482-nucleotide ribosomal RNA is filed under the name uncultured bacterium. RNAcentral describes it as "bacterial SSU rRNA". It matches the Rfam family "Bacterial small subunit ribosomal RNA", at positions 26 to 518 of the family's 1533-position model. The record is from RNAcentral.